This 594-nucleotide ribosomal RNA is filed under the name Triticum aestivum (bread wheat). RNAcentral describes it as "partial small subunit ribosomal RNA". Lineage: Eukaryota; Viridiplantae; Streptophyta; Magnoliopsida; Poales; Poaceae. The record is from RNAcentral.
AUGGUUUCUCAGGUGACCACCGUCGUCCCCGUCACCGACCCCCUCCGACAUCCCCGUUGUCGUCCCUGUCACCGACCCCCUCCGACAUCCCCGCCGUCGUCCCAGUCACCGACCCCCUCCGACAUCGAGGAAAUGUCGUACUCGGACGACGACAGUAUCCCGGGGGAGUGUAGCUGGUGCCACGACGAUCGAGGUAUGUGCGACAGGUUCGUUCAGCUGGACGAAAAUCGGCACUUCAGCAUUAAGCUCGAGGAGACCUUCGAUUGUGAAACGCUUAUCCCAUGCCAUGCAAGACGCUGUGUCUUGGAAAGGAUGGGUUUUGAAGACCAUGAAAAUUUCGAAACAAAGAAAAUACACCUAUGGACCCAUCAUGAUAUGGAUUUUGAAGUAAAUCUGUGCAAUGCUCAGAGCGUAACCCAUUUUGGUUGCCAAAAUUGGGAAGCACUUUGCAAAAUGUAUGGUUUUUAUGAGGGUAUGAUUGUCACCAUGGGUCUUGGUGAUCCUGACAUCGAGCAAGACAAUAUGGACAUUUGGGUCCUUGUUGAUACGCUUCCGAUUGUACCGCUAUGUGAGUUUCUCAAACAUAGUUAUUAA